This 494-nucleotide ribosomal RNA is filed under the name uncultured bacterium. RNAcentral describes it as "bacterial SSU rRNA". It matches the Rfam family "Bacterial small subunit ribosomal RNA", at positions 8 to 518 of the family's 1533-position model. The record is from RNAcentral.
AGAGUUGAUCAUGGCUCGAGGACGAACGCUGGCGGCGUGCUUAACACAUGCAAGUCGAGCGAUGAAGCUUCUUCGGAAGUGGAUUAGCGGCGGACGGGUGAGUGACACGUGGGUAACCUGCCUCAUAGAGGGGAAUAGCCUUCCGAAAGGAAGAUUAAUACCGCAUAAGAUUGUAAUAUCGCAUGAUAUAGCAAUUAAAGGAGUAAUCCGCUAUGAGAUGGACCCGCGUCGCAUUAGCUAGUUGGUGAGGUAACGGCUCACCAAGGCGACGAUGCGUAGCCGACCUGAGAGGGUGAUCGGCCACAUUGGGACUGAGACACGGCCCAGACUCCUACGGGAGGCAGCAGUGGGGAAUAUUGCACAAUGGGGGAAACCCUGAUGCAGCCAACGCCGCGUGAGUGAUGACGGUCUUCGGAUUGUAAAGCUCUGUCUUCAGGGACGAUAAUGACGGUACCUGAGGAGGAAGCCACGGCUAACUACGUGCCAGCCGCUGC